RNAcentral lists this ribosomal RNA (467 nucleotides) under uncultured bacterium. RNAcentral describes it as "partial 16S ribosomal RNA". It matches the Rfam family "Bacterial small subunit ribosomal RNA", at positions 28 to 507 of the family's 1533-position model. The record is from RNAcentral.
GAUGAACGCUGGCGGCGUGCUUAACACAUGCAAGUCGAACGGAAAGGCUCCUGCUUGCAGGGGUACUCGAGUGGCGAACGGGUGAGUAACACGUGGGUGAUCUGCCCUGCACUUCGGGAUAAGCCUGGGAAACUGGGUCUAAUACCGGAUAGGACCACAUUUUGGAUGGUGUGGUGGAAAGUUUUUCGGUGUGGGAUGAGCUCGCGGCCUAUCAGCUUGUUGGUGGGGUAAUGGCCUACCAAGGCGUCGACGGGUAGCCGGCCUGUGAGGGUGUACGGCCACAUUGGGACUGAGAUACGGCCCAGACUCCUACGGGGGGCAGCAGUGGGGAAUAUUGCACAAUGGGCGCAAGCCUGAUGCAGCGACGCCGCGUGGGGGAUGACGGCCUUCGGGUUGUAAACUCCUUUCGCUAGGGACGAAGCGUUUUUGUGACGGUACCUGGAGAAGAAGCACCGGCUAACUACGUG